RNAcentral lists this ribosomal RNA (510 nucleotides) under uncultured bacterium. Its description in RNAcentral is "partial 16S ribosomal RNA". It matches the Rfam family "Bacterial small subunit ribosomal RNA", at positions 28 to 507 of the family's 1533-position model. The record is from RNAcentral.
GACGAACGCUGGCGGCGUGCUUAACACAUGCAAGUCGAACGAAGAGCGACGGAAGCUUGCUUCUAUCAAUCUUAGUGGCGAACGGGUGAGUAACGCGUAAUCAACCUGCCCUUCAGAGGGGGACAACGGUUGGAAACGACUGCUAAUACCGCAUACGAUCUAACCUCGGCAUCGAGGAUAGAUGAAAGGUGGCCUCUACAUGUAAGCUAUCACUGAAGGAGGGGAUUGCGUCUGAUUAGCUAGUUGGAGGGGUAACGGCCCACCAAGGCGAUGAUCAGUAGCCGGUCUGAGAGGAUGAACGGCCACAUUGGGACUGAGACACGGCCCAGACUCCUACGGGAGGCAGCAGUGGGGAAUCUUCCGCAAUGGACGAAAGUCUGACGGAGCAACGCCGCGUGAGUGAUGACGGCCUUCGGGUUGUAAAGCUCUGUUAAUCGGGACGAAAGGCCUUCUUGCGAAUAGUGAGAAGGAUUGACGGUACCGGAAUAGAAAGCCACGGCUAACUACGUG